GGGUUGUGAGGUUAAGCGACUAAGCGUACACGGUGGAUGCCCUGGCAGUCAGAGGCGAUGAAGGACGUGCUAAUCUGCGAUAAGCGUCGGUGAGGUGAUAUGAACCGUUAUAACCGGCGAUUUCCGAAUGGGGAAACCCAGUGUGUUUCGACACACUAUCAUUAACUGAAUCCAUAGGUUAAUGAGGCGAACCGGGGGAACUGAAACAUCUAAGUACCCCGAGGAAAAGAAAUCAACCGAGAUUCCCCCAGUAGCGGCGAGCGAACGGGGAGGAGCCCAGAGCCUGAAUCAGUGUGUGUGUUAGUGGAAGCGUCUGGAAAGGCGCGCGAUACAGGGUGACAGCCCCGUACACAAAAAUGCACAUGCUGUGAGCUCGAUGAGUAGGGCGGGACACGUGGUAUCCUGUCUGAAUAUGGGGGGACCAUCCUCCAAGGCUAAAUACUCCUGACUGACCGAUAGUGAACCAGUACCGUGAGGGAAAGGCGAAAAGAACCCCGGCGAGGGGAGUGAAAAAGAACCUGAAACCGUGUACGUACAAGCAGUGGGAGCCUCUUAAUGGGGUGACUGCGUACCUUUUGUAUAAUGGGUCAGCGACUUAUAUUCUGUAGCAAGGUUAACCGAAUAGGGGAGCCGAAGGGAAACCGAGUCUUAACUGGGCGUUAAGUUGCAGGGUAUAGACCCGAAACCCGGUGAUCUAGCCAUGGGCAGGUUGAAGGUUGGGUAACACUAACUGGAGGACCGAACCGACUAAUGUUGAAAAAUUAGCGGAUGACUUGUGGCUGGGGGUGAAAGGCCAAUCAAACCGGGAGAUAGCUGGUUCUCCCCGAAAGCUAUUUAGGUAGCGCCUCGUGAAUUCAUCUCCGGGGGUAGAGCACUGUUUCGGCAAGGGGGUCAUCCCGACUUACCAACCCGAUGCAAACUGCGAAUACCGGAGAAUGUUAUCACGGGAGACACACGGCGGGUGCUAACGUCCGUCGUGAAGAGGGAAACAACCCAGACCGCCAGCUAAGGUCCCAAAGUCAUGGUUAAGUGGGAAACGAUGUGGGAAGGCCCAGACAGCCAGGAUGUUGGCUUAGAAGCAGCCAUCAUUUAAAGAAAGCGUAAUAGCUCACUGGUCGAGUCGGCCUGCGCGGAAGAUGUAACGGGGCUAAACCAUGCACCGAAGCUGCGGCAGCGACACUAUGUGUUGUUGGGUAGGGGAGCGUUCUGUAAGCCUGUGAAGGUGGCCUGUGAGGGUUGCUGGAGGUAUCAGAAGUGCGAAUGCUGACAUAAGUAACGAUAAAGCGGGUGAAAAGCCCGCUCGCCGGAAGACCAAGGGUUCCUGUCCAACGUUAAUCGGGGCAGGGUGAGUCGACCCCUAAGGCGAGGCCGAAAGGCGUAGUCGAUGGGAAACAGGUUAAUAUUCCUGUACUUGGUGUUACUGCGAAGGGGGGACGGAGAAGGCUAUGUUGGCCGGGCGACGGUUGUCCCGGUUUAAGCGUGUAGGCUGGUUUUCCAGGCAAAUCCGGAAAAUCAAGGCUGAGGCGUGAUGACGAGGCACUACGGUGCUGAAGUGACAAAUGCCCUGCUUCCAGGAAAAGCCUCUAAGCAUCAGGUAACAUCAAAUCGUACCCCAAACCGACACAGGUGGUCAGGUAGAGAAUACCAAGGCGCUUGAGAGAACUCGGGUGAAGGAACUAGGCAAAAUGGUGCCGUAACUUCGGGAGAAGGCACGCUGAUAUGUAGGUGAAGCGACUUGCUCGUGGAGCUGAAAUCAGUCGAAGAUACCAGCUGGCUGCAACUGUUUAUUAAAAACACAGCACUGUGCAAACACGAAAGUGGACGUAUACGGUGUGACGCCUGCCCGGUGCCGGAAGGUUAAUUGAUGGGGUUAGCGGUAACGCGAAGCUCUUGAUCGAAGCCCCGGUAAACGGCGGCCGUAACUAUAACGGUCCUAAGGUAGCGAAAUUCCUUGUCGGGUAAGUUCCGACCUGCACGAAUGGCGUAAUGAUGGCCAGGCUGUCUCCACCCGAGACUCAGUGAAAUUGAACUCGCUGUGAAGAUGCAGUGUACCCGCGGCAAGACGGAAAGACCCCGUGAACCUUUACUAUAGCUUGACACUGAACAUUGAGCCUUGAUGUGUAGGAUAGGUGGGAGGCUUUGAAGUGUGGACGCCAGUCUGCAUGGAGCCGACCUUGAAAUACCACCCUUUAAUGUUUGAUGUUCUAACGUUGGCCCGUAAUCCGGGUUGCGGACAGUGUCUGGUGGGUAGUUUGACUGGGGCGGUCUCCUCCUAAAGAGUAACGGAGGAGCACGAAGGUUGGCUAAUCCUGGUCGGACAUCAGGAGGUUAGUGCAAUGGCAUAAGCCAGCUUGACUGCGAGCGUGACGGCGCGAGCAGGUGCGAAAGCAGGUCAUAGUGAUCCGGUGGUUCUGAAUGGAAGGGCCAUCGCUCAACGGAUAAAAGGUACUCCGGGGAUAACAGGCUGAUACCGCCCAAGAGUUCAUAUCGACGGCGGUGUUUGGCACCUCGAUGUCGGCUCAUCACAUCCUGGGGCUGAAGUAGGUCCCAAGGGUAUGGCUGUUCGCCAUUUAAAGUGGUACGCGAGCUGGGUUUAGAACGUCGUGAGACAGUUCGGUCCCUAUCUGCCGUGGGCGCUGGAGAACUGAGGGGGGCUGCUCCUAGUACGAGAGGACCGGAGUGGACGCAUCACUGGUGUUCGGGUUGUCAUGCCAAUGGCACUGCCCGGUAGCUAAAUGCGGAAGAGAUAAGUGCUGAAAGCAUCUAAGCACGAAACUUGCCCCGAGAUGAGUUCUCCCUGACUCCUUGAGAGUCCUGAAGGAACGUUGAAGACGACGACGUUGAUAGGCCGGGUGUGUAAGCGCAGCGAUGCGUUGAGCUAACCGGUACUAAUGAACCGUGAGGCUUAACCUUACAACGCCGAAG
Molecule: ribosomal RNA, 2925 nt
Filed under: Escherichia coli
Lineage: Bacteria; Pseudomonadati; Pseudomonadota; Gammaproteobacteria; Enterobacterales; Enterobacteriaceae
Description: bacterial LSU rRNA
Rfam family: Bacterial large subunit ribosomal RNA
Source: RNAcentral